Stomoxys calcitrans (stable fly) is the source of this 621-nucleotide long non-coding RNA. RefSeq lists it as uncharacterized. The record is from RefSeq and is a predicted model, not a curated record. Lineage: Eukaryota; Metazoa; Arthropoda; Insecta; Diptera; Muscidae. The transcript is spliced from 2 exons.
ACCUUCUCCAAGAGUUUGUCUUCAAAAUGCUCAUAGGCCUCGGAAAAUUUAAAUUCUAAAUUUUUGUGUUCCUGAUAAGCGGCCAGUUGUUUAUCCAAAGCUUUGGAUUUAAAAUCUAGCACGUAGACCUUGGCUUCCAGUUGGUCACUUUUGCUUCCCAAAUUGGCUGUUUGAAUAUCUGAAAAUUUUUACAAAUAUUGAGUUGGUACACAAUUGAUAUUGCAUCUCCUCAACUCACUUUUUGUUUUUAUAGAAGCUGCCAGCGCUUCAUAUUCUUUUUUACGUUCGCCCAAGCGCUGAUACAUUUCGCUGUGUCUCUUCCUUAAGUCCUGCAAUUGAAGCUGGAUUUGCAUUUCUUGUGGCAAAAAGGAGCGUUCACAAGCCUGCAAGCAUAUGAAGAUAAUUAUUGGGUUUGGAAAUGAUGAUAGCCUCUACUUACCGAAAUAAUUUGUCCCUUUAUUUUCUCGGCUUUAUGUAUAAGAAUAUUUUCCUUAAUUUCAUUUACUUCUUGACGUGGUCUAACACGUCGCAUUAAAUUGCAAAAUAAAUCUCUUUGUCGCGACUUAAAAAGCCUACAAAAAAAAAUAAAAUAUAGACCAUUGGGUAUGUUUUUCACUAGUG